RNAcentral lists this ribosomal RNA (468 nucleotides) under uncultured bacterium. RNAcentral's name for it is "partial 16S ribosomal RNA". It matches the Rfam family "Bacterial small subunit ribosomal RNA", at positions 28 to 507 of the family's 1533-position model. The record is from RNAcentral.
GACGAACGCUGGCGGCGUGCUUAACACAUGCAAGUCGAACGGAAAGGCCCUGCUUUUGUGGGGUGCUCGAGUGGCGAACGGGUGAGUAACACGUGAGUAACCUGCCCUUGACUUUGGGAUAACUUCAGGAAACUGGGGCUAAUACCGGAUAGGAGCUCCUGCUGCAUGGUGGGGGUUGGAAAGUUUCGGCGGUUGGGGAUGGACUCGCGGCUUAUCAGCUUGUUGGUGGGGUAGUGGCUUACCAAGGCUUUGACGGGUAGCCGGCCUGAGAGGGGGACCGGCCACAUUGGGACUGAGAUACGGCCCAGACUCCUACGGGAGGCAGCAGUGGGGAAUAUUGCACAAUGGGCGGAAGCCUGAUGCAGCAACGCCGCGUGCGGGAUGACGGCCUUCGGGUUGUAAACCGCUUUCGCCUGUGACGAGGCGUGAGUGACGGUAAUGGGUAAAGAAGCACCGGCUAACUACGUG